UGUAUAAGUUAUAAAGUCUAGCCUGCCCACUGAUUGAUUUAAAGGGCCGCGGUAAUUUGACCGUGCGAAGGUAGCAUAGUCAGUAGUCUUUUAAUUGAAGGCUUGAAUGAAAGGUUGGACGAGGGAUGAGCUGUCUCCUUUAUGUAAUUUGAAUUUAACUUUUGAGUGAAAAGGCUCAAAUUAUUUAGUGGGACGAUAAGACCCUAUAAAACUUUAUAUAAGUUUAAUUUGGCUUACAAUUUGAGUGAAAAGUAGCUUUAUUAGGCUUAUAUUUCGUUGGGGAGAUGUAGAUAUAAUGUGUAACUGUCUAUUUAAUUUAAUAAUUAUAAUUAGUGUGUGAUCCUUCUUUGUGGAUUAAAAGUAUAAGUUACUUUAGGGAUAACAGCGUGAUUUUCUUUGAGAGUUUUUAUCGACAAGAGUA
RNAcentral lists this ribosomal RNA (421 nucleotides) under Macrobrachium nipponense. Its description in RNAcentral is "partial 16S ribosomal RNA". It matches the Rfam family "Bacterial large subunit ribosomal RNA", at positions 1836 to 2516 of the family's 2925-position model. Lineage: Eukaryota; Metazoa; Arthropoda; Malacostraca; Decapoda; Palaemonidae. The record is from RNAcentral.